UGCGUAGGCGGGGCAAUUAGUCAGUGGUGAAAUCCCGCGGCUUAACCGUAGAACUGCCAUUGAUACUGUUGCCCUUGAGUAUAGUUGAGGUGGGCGGAAUGUGUAAUGUAGCGGUGAAAUGCAUAGAGAUUACACAGAACACCAAUUGCGAAGGCAGCUCACUAAGCUAUAACUGACGCUGAGGCACGAAAGCGUGGGGAGCGAACAGGAUUAGAUACCCUGGUAGUC
This 228-nucleotide ribosomal RNA is filed under the name uncultured bacterium. Its description in RNAcentral is "partial 16S ribosomal RNA". It matches the Rfam family "Bacterial small subunit ribosomal RNA", at positions 568 to 795 of the family's 1533-position model. The record is from RNAcentral.